RNAcentral lists this ribosomal RNA (490 nucleotides) under Streptococcus mutans. Its description in RNAcentral is "bacterial SSU rRNA". It matches the Rfam family "Bacterial small subunit ribosomal RNA", at positions 830 to 1321 of the family's 1533-position model. The record is from RNAcentral. Lineage: Bacteria; Bacillati; Bacillota; Bacilli; Lactobacillales; Streptococcaceae.
UUUCCGGGGCUUAGUGCCGGAGCUAACGCAAUAAGCACUCCGCCUGGGGAGUACGACCGCAAGGUUGAAACUCAAAGGAAUUGACGGGGGCCCGCACAAGCGGUGGAGCAUGUGGUUUAAUUUGAAGCAACGCGAAGAACCUUACCAGGUCUUGACAUCCCGAUGCUAUUCUUAGAGAUAGGAAGUUACUUCGGUACAUCGGAGACAGGUGGUGCAUGGUUGUCGUCAGCUCGUGUCGUGAGAUGUUGGGUUAAGUCCCGCAACGAGCGCAACCCUUAUUGUUAGUUGCCAUCAUUAAGUUGGGCACUCUAGCGAGACUGCCGGUAAUAAACCGGAGGAAGGUGGGGAUGACGUCAAAUCAUCAUGCCCCUUAUGACCUGGGCUACACACGUGCUACAAUGGUCGGUACAACGAGUUGCGAGCCGGUGACGGCAAGCUAAUCUCUGAAAGCCGAUCUCAGUUCGGAUUGGAGGCUGCAACUCGCCUCCAU